UGUCUUUGACGACCUGCUGUUUCAUGGUUCGUGUUCGGGAGAAUGACACCCACACGAAUCGAUUGACACCCACAGGAG
RNAcentral lists this small nucleolar RNA (78 nucleotides) under Olsenella profusa F0195. RNAcentral describes it as "putative Small nucleolar RNA SNORD66". The record is from RNAcentral. Lineage: Bacteria; Bacillati; Actinomycetota; Coriobacteriia; Coriobacteriales; Atopobiaceae.